This 497-nucleotide ribosomal RNA is filed under the name uncultured bacterium. RNAcentral describes it as "partial 16S ribosomal RNA". It matches the Rfam family "Bacterial small subunit ribosomal RNA", at positions 28 to 507 of the family's 1533-position model. The record is from RNAcentral.
GAUGAACGCUGGCGGCGUGCCUAAUACAUGCAAGUCGAGCGAACAGACGAGGAGCUUGCUCCUCUGACGUUAGCGGCGGACGGGUGAGUAACACGUGGAUAACCUACCUAUAAGACUGGGAUAACUUCGGGAAACCGGAGCUAAUACCGGAUAAUAUAUUGAACCGCAUGGUUCAAUAGUGAAAGACGGUCUUGCUGUCACUUAUAGAUGGAUCCGCGCCGCAUUAGCUAGUUGGUAAGGUAACGGCUUACCAAGGCAACGAUGCGUAGCCGACCUGAGAGGGUGAUCGGCCACACUAGAACUGAGACACGGUCCAGACUCCUACGGGAGGCAGCAGUAGGGAAUCUUCCGCAAUGGGCGAAAGCUUGACGGAGCAACGCCGCGUGAGUGAUGAAGGUCUUCGGAUCGUAAAACUCUGUUAUUAGGGAAGAACAAAUGUGUAAGUAACUAUGCACGUCUUGACGGUACCUAAUCAGAAAGCCACGGCUAACUACGUG